AUGGACUUUUGGCUUUUAUUUUAUGAACAUUUCCGGAGUCUACUUCCUGUGUGGGUUGUUUGCUGCUGUGUUUGCCUGUCUCCAGAGGCUUCUCCCUUCCCCCGCCCUGCACUGAGGCUGAGUGCGCACACCUGUGACUCAUCGGCAAUCAACGGGCUGUUAAGACUGCCACCGUCUCUAGCCUCAGUGCCAGAGUAUUCGCUUCUGCACGCAGUGUGUCUCCCUCCGUGCCUCUCAGCAGCCCACAGCCCAGCACUCUCACCUGGUUUCCUCACUCUGCACCUCGACUCCGGAUCUCCUCAGUUCUCUGCACAAUUCUGACACAAUAAACCUGUUAACCCUCUUCCCUCUGUGUCUGCAUUUUGGGUCCUAUUCCUCACUGCCAUCACAGCUAGCCCCUGAUCAAGACUGCCCUGUAGAUUUUACAGGACAGUCUCGGAGUUAACAUCCAUAUGGGAGCAGAGCGACAGUAAAGGAACAACGUACUUCAACACAAAUGUUCAAAUGCAAAAAAUAAAGUCCUUACCUGAGUGC
Epinephelus lanceolatus (giant grouper) is the source of this 534-nucleotide non-coding RNA. Lineage: Eukaryota; Metazoa; Chordata; Actinopteri; Perciformes; Serranidae. The record is from RefSeq and is a predicted model, not a curated record.